This 2872-nucleotide long non-coding RNA is filed under the name Gossypium barbadense (sea-island cotton). RNAcentral's name for it is "long non-coding RNA (GBAR_LNC010642)". Lineage: Eukaryota; Viridiplantae; Streptophyta; Magnoliopsida; Malvales; Malvaceae. The record is from RNAcentral.
GUUAAUAAAGUGAAUGGAAGCUGUGCACCAGGUAGGUAUCUGAAACAGAGGAGGUGAGCCAUGAAGGCUGCUUAAGUACCAAUGCUCUUGAUUGGAUCCAAUCCUAGACAUGCCCACAACCAUUGCCACACUUUGGUGCUAGGUUAGUUUUGAAAAAACUGAGUUGCAAUUCAUUUAAGUCGAUAUUUUUGAUAAACAGAUUAAUUGUAUCGUUGCGUUUAUUUUGAAAACAAUUAUCAUUUUGGAAAUGCGCCCUAGGUCUAACUCAUAUUGUUAUCAGAAAAAUAUAGGGUAUAAAAUAAAAUAAUCCCAAAAAAAUAAUUAAAAUGGCCUUAUUACAACCCAAAACCAAAUAAUAAUAGUAAUAAGAUAAAACUUAUAAAGAAAUAAACCGGCUACUUAUUGCAAUUUAAAGAACCAGAAACAGUAGUGUGGCCAUCUCUGAGUCCUCGCAGCUUCAAACCAUCUAAGCUUAGGGAUUAUCUACACAGUUAGAAACGGGGUGAGUUUACGAAAACUCAGUGUGUAAUCCCAAUAACAAACAAACAGUGAAAACACAGUAUCAGUACAAUCUGGCCAAAGCCCUAUUUAGUCUUGGCAUAUACUGGGCCGAAGCCUUUUGUUUAACGGUUACUGGGCCGAAGCCUUAUCAUAAAUUAUAUUACUGGGCCGAAGCCUUUUCAUAAAUCAUAUCAUUGGGCCGAAGCCUUUACUGUAAACAGUAUGGCCCUUAGGCCCAUUUUAAUAUCACAUGUAAUGUCAAUGGAUGUAUGCAAGCCCAUUUGGGGAGACUACUCGACCCACCAUCCGCUACUCUCCACCCGUACCAACCAACACACCAUGUGGGGAAUGAUUCAACCCACCCAACCAACACACCACUGGCAGCAUAGCUGCUUUAUCAUAUAUUUGGAGGCCUAGCCUCUUUUAAUAACUGGGGCAAAGCCCUUUUGAUAAACUGGGGAAAAGCCCUUUUCGGUAAACUAGGGCAAAGCCCUUUUCGGUAAACUGGGGCAUAGCCCUUUUAGCACUUCCUCCAUUUACAAAACCCAACCCAUGCAACAUGUUAUGUAUGCAGAAUGUCAUGCCCAUAUUUGAAUCAAACAAUCACAGUCAAGUCAUUCAUAUCACCAACAUAUAUUCACAAUCAAUUCCGUCAACCACACAGUCCAAGUCAGUCACUUGCUCACAAGGGCAAAACAGUCAUUUUUCACAUUAUAAGGGUAAUUUCGUAAUUUUACCAAAUAUCAGGGUUUUCCAUGUUCAUCAACAUUAUCAAUAUUUCCGAGUGUUUAAACAAUGAUCUUUAACCCACUUUCUCAAACUCGGGCUUUUGGGCCCAAAACCUCUAAUGGGCCUUACGAAUGCUGAUUUAGCCCAUUAAGCCCACAUAAUCUAAAUUUUACAAAAGUACUAACCGUGUUAACAUGCAACUUUUCCAGAUUCCAUUUUCUAUCAGUUUAACCCAAAUGGGCCCGAAGCCCAUUGGGCCCAAUUUUAGCCCAUUGAGGCCUAAUUUACCAUCGUGCACAAAAUUGAGUUCUUACCUAUUCCAUUGAUCCAAACACCGAUCUUAUCGUAUUUAUCGUAUCUAUACCCAAACGCAACAGUACAAGUUCCUAAAAUACCGGUAUUUUAGCAUUUCGGCUUCUCAGCAAAUAUUAAUCUAAGCUAUUACGAGGGUUAGUACACACCUGUUAUGGGUUGAAGUUGAAACGUUUCCAAAAUCAAUCGCCUACGAUAACCACCACCUGUCACUCAAACUUAACUAAUCCAAUAUCAAUAUAUGUAAAUCCUAAGCACAUCAGUCAUACGGAACAUAAGGGCAUAUUCGUCAUUUUACCAUACAGGGGUAUUAUGGUCACUUUACCCUACAAGGGCUUUACAGUCUUUUUACCUAAUAAGGGUAUUUUAAUCAUUUCACCCUACAAGGGUGUUUUGGUAAAUCUACAAACCAAGGGUAUUUCAGUAAUUUUGUAAACCAAUGGUAUUUUUAUAAUUUUUAGAAAGUCAAGGGUAUUUCUGUAAUUUUGUAAAUCAGGGGUAUUUUGGUAAUUUUACAAAUUGAGGGUGUUUCGGUAAUUUCACAAACCAGUGGUAUUUUGGUAAUUUUACAAACUAGGGGUAUUUUGGUAAUUUUACAAACCAGGGGUAUUUUAGUAAUUUUACAGACUAAGGUAUUUUGGUAAUUUUACUGAUCGAGGGUAUUUUGGUAAUUUUGUAAACCAAGGGUAUUUUAGUAAUUUUUUAAAUCGAGGGUAAACAGUAAUUCUGUAAAUCAAGGGUAAAAUAAUAAUUCUAUAAAUCGAGGGUAAAACGGUAAUUCUGUAAAUCGAGGGUAAAACGGCAAUUCUAUAAAUCGAGGGUACUUUGGUAAUUUUGCAAGUCGAGGGUAUUUCAAUAAUUGGUAAACUAAAGUAUUCUAAACAUGGAUAACAAUACUAAUGGCCCUAAAGCCCAUUCUCGGCCCAAAUGGGCCCACCCGCUCGUGUGGCCCUUUUAUCCCAAAUCUAACCACAAAUAUUAGAUUCACCUAGCCUAGCCCAAUAUUUACUACACAAUCAAACAACUUAUCCAAUUAGGCCCGUAGGCCUAUUAGGCCCACAUGACCCCUUUCGGCCCAUCACGGCCCGAAGUAGCCAUCCUACAGCUAGAGUAGUAAGAAAUACAUACCUGAUAGGAGACUGGAGUUAAUCCACGCUCCGAGCACUCUUAGCCGGCGCCCAACCCAAACGAGCACGCCAUACAACGAAAGGGAUCAGCCAAGAAAGGUACCUCUACUCUCCUCAUGGUUCUCUCUAUUUAAAGCCAGCUUCGCAUCCCCUCUUAUGUUAGCUUCCCGAUGUGGGAUCCUUCCAACAUCAGAGUUUAAAUU